CAGCAGGCGCGAAAACUCUACAAUGCAGGCAACUGCGAUAGGGGAACAUCGAGUGAUACUCAUCUUGGGUGUCUGUCCUCCCGUCUAAAAAACGGGAGUUAGCAAGGGCCGGGCAAGACCGGUGCCAGCCGCCGCGGUAAUACCGGCGGCUCGAGUGGUGGCCGAUAUUAUUGAGUCUAAAGGGUCCGUAGCCGGCUUUGCAAGUCUUUUGGGAAAUCCAGCGGCUUAACCGUUGGUCGUCCGGGAGAUACUACAUUGCUUGGGACUGGGAGAGGUAGGAGGUACUCAGGGGGUAGGAGUGAAAUCCUGUAAUCCUUUGGGGACCACCGGUGGCGAAGGCGUCCUACCAGAACAGGUCCGACGGUGAGGGACGAAAGCUAGGGGCACGAACCGGAUUAGAUACCCGGGUAGUCCUAGCCGUAAACGAUGCUCGCUAGGUGUCACAACAAUCGUGAAUUGUUGUGGUGCCGUAGGGAAGCCGUGAAGCGAGCCACUUGGGAAGUACGACCGCAAGGUUGAAACUUAAAGGAAUUGGCGGGGGAGC
RNAcentral lists this ribosomal RNA (544 nucleotides) under uncultured archaeon. Its description in RNAcentral is "bacterial SSU rRNA". It matches the Rfam family "Archaeal small subunit ribosomal RNA", at positions 333 to 877 of the family's 1478-position model. The record is from RNAcentral.